UACGUAGGUGGCAAGCGUUAUCCGGAUUUACUGGGUGUAAGGGGCGUGUGGGCGGGGACGCAAGUCAGAUGUGAAAACCACGGGCUCAACCUGUGGCCUGCAUUUGAAACUGUGUUUCUUGAGUACUGGAGAGGCAGACGGAAUUCCUAGUGUAGCGGUGAAAUGCGUAGAUAUUAGGAGGAACACCAGUGGCGAAGGCGGUCUGCUGGACAGCAACUGGCGCUGAGGCGCGAAAGCGUGGGGAGCAAACAGG
This 253-nucleotide ribosomal RNA is filed under the name uncultured bacterium. RNAcentral's name for it is "partial 16S ribosomal RNA". It matches the Rfam family "Bacterial small subunit ribosomal RNA", at positions 524 to 776 of the family's 1533-position model. The record is from RNAcentral.